This is a small nucleolar RNA of Bison bison bison, 75 nucleotides long. The record is from Ensembl. Lineage: Eukaryota; Metazoa; Chordata; Mammalia; Artiodactyla; Bovidae.
UGAACCUUUGCUAAUGACUGAUGGUGUCAGAGUCAAGGAUGAUGAAUAACACUUGUUUGCAUAUCUGAGGUCCAG